GACGAACGCUGGCGGCGCGCCUAACACAUGCAAGUAGAACGCUGAGGACUGGUGCUUGCACUGGUCUAAGGAGUUGCGAACGGGUGAGUAACGCGUAGGUAACCUACCUCAUAGCGGGGGAUAACUAUUGGAAACGAUAGCUAAUACCGCAUGACAAUAGGGUACACAUGUACCCUAUUUAAAAGGGGCAAAAUGCUUCACUAUGAGAUGGACCUGCGUUGUAUUAGCUAGUUGGUAAGGUAACGGCUUACCAAGGCGACGAUACAUAGCCGACCUGAGAGGGUGAUCGGCCACACUGGGACUGAGACACGGCCCAG
This 317-nucleotide ribosomal RNA is filed under the name uncultured bacterium. RNAcentral's name for it is "bacterial SSU rRNA". It matches the Rfam family "Bacterial small subunit ribosomal RNA", at positions 28 to 334 of the family's 1533-position model. The record is from RNAcentral.